Molecule: long non-coding RNA, 1127 nt
Filed under: Vigna radiata
Lineage: Eukaryota; Viridiplantae; Streptophyta; Magnoliopsida; Fabales; Fabaceae
Description: long non-coding RNA (VRAD_LNC003591)
Source: RNAcentral
UUUGUUACGUAUCCGAGUAGGGAACGUAACAGAAACACUUCCUCACACACUUUCACAGGUAAAGAACAAUAGAUCGGUUUUGAAUAAAACCUCUUUUAUUGAAUGGAAAUAAUUGAAUCAACGAAACAACCAAUAACUAGGAGAAGGAUCUCCGUUAGUUAUUUGAGAGCAUAACCUCUCUUACAAAACUCAAAAAUCAAAAGCAUACCUUUUACCCUAGGCUUCCCCUUUAUUUAUAAUAAAUACUUCCCGCCCCAAACCUGUACUAAAUAUGUAGAAAAAUAACCUUAUUUGUUAUAAUUAACUUAUACGAAUAUAUUUAGCCUUAUUUACUAUAUUUAACUUAUACCCAAUAAUAUCUUAAGAUAUGGUCUUGUUUACUCUAAUUAGCUCUAGCUAAAUAUCUUUUCAGAAUAUCUCUCUUAUUACUCUAAUUAGUUUCCUGUCCAUCCUAACCGUGGAGAUAGUUAGGAUGCUUCCUCGUUGCUUCCAACUGUUUGGUCCCCUUCUUCCUUACUCCUUUCUUCCGUUCAGUCACUCUUUCUCUCUCUCUCAUAUCUCCUUCUUUCAUACAUUUUCUAGCCCCUAACAUUACCCACCGCCCCAUGAUCAACCUUGUCCUCAAGGUUGAAAUCUGGAUAUUGGUCUCUGAUGGUCAUGGCAUCUUCCUACGUCGCUCCAUCUGGUCCCCCCUCUUGCCAUUCUAUUAACCAUUGUUGCACCUCGUCCUUCCCUUGUUGGACUUGUCUUUUGUCCAGAAUUCUGAUCGACCAAAAGGAUGGACCCUCCACCUGCAAGUUUGCUGAUAACUCCUUCUCCUCACUUCUUCCCCCCACUGCUUUCUUCAACUGGGAUACAUGGAAAACUGGAUGUAUCCUUGUGGUAUCGGGCAAUUAGAGCUUGAAAGUCACUCCUCCGAUUUUCUGAGUGACUUGGAAAGGCCCAAAAUACCGAGCGACUAACUUAGGAUGAAGCCUGAAUGACAUUGAGGUCUGCCUGUGUGGUCUGAUCUUCAAGUAUACCCAGUCUCCUACCUCCACAUCUACUGGUCUCCUUGCUUUGUUAGCCUACUUCACCAUCAGUUCCUGGGCCCGUGCCAAGUGAAACUUCAAUCUUUUUAAUGUUUU